RNAcentral lists this ribosomal RNA (468 nucleotides) under uncultured bacterium. RNAcentral's name for it is "partial 16S ribosomal RNA". It matches the Rfam family "Bacterial small subunit ribosomal RNA", at positions 28 to 507 of the family's 1533-position model. The record is from RNAcentral.
GACGAACGCUGGCGGCGUGCUUAACACAUGCAAGUCGAACGGAAAGGCCCCAGCUUGCUGGAGUACUCGAGUGGCGAACGGGUGAGUAACACGUGGGUGAUCUGCCCUGCACUUUGGGAUAAGCCUGGGAAACUGGGUCUAAUACCGGAUAGGACCGCACUUUGGUGUGUGUGGUGGAAAGGUUUUUCUGGUGUGGGAUGAGAUCGCGGCCUUUCAGUUUGUUGGUGGGGGAAUGGCCUACCAAGACGGCGACGGGUAGCCGGCCUGGGAGGGUGGACGGUCACAUUGGGGCUGGGAAACGGCCCAGACUCCUACGGGAGGCAGCAGUGGGGAAUAUUGCACAAUGGGGGAGACCCUGAUGCAGCGACGCCGCGUGGGGGAUGAAGGCCUUCGGGUUGUAAACUCCUUUCGCUAGGGACGAAGCUUUUUGUGACGGUACCUGGUGAAGAAGCACCGGCUAACUACGUG